CUUGACAACGAGCAUAAACUUUAAAUUGUUUGAUCGAUACUUUACGAGAUUUUUUAUUGGGGGAAGUGCGCUAUUUCCUUAUGCAUAGCUGUAUGUAUAUAUAUGUAUCUAUAUUAUUGGAAAAAGUCAUCCAAUGCAAAAUAGUUUAAUCAAAAUGAACUAAAUGAAUCAGUAAUCACAUUAUUUAUCUUUAAAAUUAGCUUAUUUAUGCUAAAAAAAUUUCAUUUGUAUAUACAUAAAUACGUGUAUAGGAGUUGCAAUUUAUAUGUAUUUACCUUAUUUCAUCGAUGGCAAAAGACAAGUACCACAACGCAAACAUUUUUCUGCAAAAAUAUAAAAGAAUUUGUAUUAUAUGUAUAUGUUCUGGCGAAAUGUACACAGAGUUUGUUUUAAUAGAUGGAUAUACCCUACUUCGUUUUAAUUUCAUAGAAUCAGCCAUUGAUGUGCUCUUUCAUAAAAUCAGCUUUAAAAAAUAGAUAACUAUUUUAUAUGCGAAAGUCUUAAGCUAGGAUCAGAAGUAUUCCCCGGACUAUAUGCCAGUCGUAUUAAGCUAUGUUAGGUACAGGAUGGAAAUACACUCAUACUGAGAGCACCUAUUAUGAUACUGUUGCUGUAGCUUGUAAAGUUAAUAAGCCUCAAAAAAUGGUAAAGAAGAGGGUGCAUUAAAUGUAUGAGAUGGUAAAUUCUAUCGUUAUUGACUAUUAACUGAUCGGGGUAUUAAGAUUAAAUAAAACUAAAAGUAAUGCGUGAAUUGCAAAUGUUUGUCGUCUUGUAUUUAGUAGGUGGGCACUGAAGCAACUUCCCAGUAGCUAAACUAUCACAAGCCACGGGAAUUUGGCGAAAUCUCAACUCAUCUGAAAUUGAAGAAAAGUGAUUAGCAGCAAGUUUUUGAUUAGCACAAGCACGACUCACAUAUUUGACGUGAAGAGGUGAUGAAGAAGUAUCAAGGUGGACAUCUUUUCGCCAGCUGCCCAUAUUUUAUCAUUCUGUAUAUUCUCAACGCUCUGAACUUGGCAUCACAAUGAGCUCUUCAUAUGUACUUGUAUGUACAUACUUAUAUAUGUAUUUUACUUCUAUGAGUAAUGAUCACCGAUAAUCUUGGCGCCUAAUUUUAUAACUAAGGCAAAAUAUGCAGCUAGAAAGCCGCGGUAGAGUAUUCUAACGUGUUACCUCAAAUGAUGAUGACCCAGUAGGAUGAGUCUGAUGAAAUUAUUUUAAAACUAUUUAUUUUUC
Molecule: long non-coding RNA, 1233 nt
Organism: Anastrepha ludens (Mexican fruit fly)
Lineage: Eukaryota; Metazoa; Arthropoda; Insecta; Diptera; Tephritidae
Exons: 4
Source: RefSeq, a predicted model, not a curated record